GGAACCUUACCUGGGCUAGAAUGUAUUUUGCCACCUUGAGAAAUUGAGGGUUCCUUCGGGACGGAAUACAAGGUGCUGCAUGGCUGUCGUCAGCUCGUGCCGUGAGGUGUUGGGUUAAGUCCUAUAACGAGCGAAACCCUUUUACUUAAUUGCCAGCACGUAAUGGUGGGGACUUUAAGUAGACUGCCCGUGUAAGCGGGAGGAAGGAGAGGAUGAGGUCAAGUCAUCAUGGCCUUUAUGCCCAGGGCUACACACGUACUACAAUGGCAUGUACAAAGGGAAGCUACUUGGUAAUAAGAUGCAAAUCUUAAAAGCAUGUCUCAGUUCGGAUUGAGGUCUGCAAUUCGACCUCAUGAAGUUGGAAUCGCUAGUAAUCGUSGWAUCAGCAAUGACGCGGUGAAUACGUUCUCGGACCUUGUACACACCGCCCAUCAAGCCAUGGGAGUUGGUAGAGCUUGAAGACAGUGGCAAUAUUUA
This 477-nucleotide ribosomal RNA is filed under the name Cardinium endosymbiont of Araneae sp. RNAcentral describes it as "bacterial SSU rRNA". Lineage: Bacteria; Pseudomonadati; Bacteroidota; Cytophagia; Cytophagales; Amoebophilaceae. The record is from RNAcentral.